AGCUUUGCGCAGUGGCAGUAUCGUAGCCAAUGUGGUUUAGCCGAGGCUCGAUUAUUGCUAAUUGAAAAGA
This 70-nucleotide small nuclear RNA is filed under the name Callithrix jacchus (white-tufted-ear marmoset). RNAcentral's name for it is "U4 spliceosomal RNA". It matches the Rfam family "U4 spliceosomal RNA". From Rfam's summary of the family: U4 small nuclear RNA (U4 snRNA) is a component of the major U2-dependent spliceosome. The structure of U4 snRNA from yeast and human has been reported. U4 snRNA presents a k-turn RNA motif in the 5p-SL related to recognition of Snu13 protein. The record is from Rfam by way of RNAcentral. Lineage: Eukaryota; Metazoa; Chordata; Mammalia; Primates; Cebidae.